This 234-nucleotide long non-coding RNA is filed under the name Prunus dulcis (almond). RNAcentral's name for it is "sRNA ncRNA". Lineage: Eukaryota; Viridiplantae; Streptophyta; Magnoliopsida; Rosales; Rosaceae. The record is from RNAcentral.
AUGCAUGAAUACGAUGUGGUUUACAUGUCGGGCCAAAAAACCUUGGGUUGGGACCAAAUAAUUCAAGAUUGGUUGACGCUCUUUUUCCUCAACCCUCCUUUCGUUUACAAAGGGGGAAAGAAAAGGCCUUCUUUCCAGCCUGAAAACUUUUCAAACCUGUUGUGUAUUCAAAUUUUUAUGUUUUGUUCUUAUUCUUGCACUAGUUACUUUCCUCUUCUUCUUUGCUCAUUAUAG